This 66-nucleotide transfer RNA is filed under the name Leptobelus gazella. Its description in RNAcentral is "tRNA-Leu". Lineage: Eukaryota; Metazoa; Arthropoda; Insecta; Hemiptera; Membracidae. The record is from RNAcentral.
AUUAGUUUGGCAGAAUUAUUGUGUUAAAUUUAGACUUUAAUUAUAUGUGUAAAUACAUAUCUAAUA